GUAGAUAUAGUUUAACAAAAAUAUUAGAUUGUGAUUCUAAAGACAGGGGCUAAAAUCCCCUUAUUCACC
RNAcentral lists this transfer RNA (69 nucleotides) under Arctoscopus japonicus (sailfin sandfish). RNAcentral's name for it is "tRNA-His". It matches the Rfam family "tRNA". Rfam says of the family: Transfer RNA (tRNA) molecules are approximately 80 nucleotides in length. Their secondary structure includes four short double-helical elements and three loops (D, anti-codon, and T loops). The record is from RNAcentral. Lineage: Eukaryota; Metazoa; Chordata; Actinopteri; Perciformes; Trichodontidae.